GCCUCUUCCCAAGACACUGGUGCAAUGCUGCCCCUGAACACAGGGUGAAACAAGGAUCUGGAAAUGAGUACAACCCGUGUCCAGCAGGGAUGCUGACAAGUAGAGGUGGACUCUGACUUGCUGUGUGCUCAUCUGAGAAUUUCAGCAGGGACAAAAGCAUCUGAAGUGUUCAGGAGUUUUUAGGAAAGAGAAGGAAUGUGUGUGGAAAGGAUGGAAAGGCCAACAGGAGGAAAGAAAAAACAGCAAUAUCUCCCAAGAAGGGCAGUGGAGCUGGGGAAGCCUCUGGAGCACCAGAAGUGACUGGAGGUGGGGCUCAGCCUGAAGAAAAAGAGGAUCAGAGGGGACCUUCUCACUCUCCACAACUCCCUGACAGGAGGGUGCAGCCAGGUGAGGCUUUGUCUCUCCUCCUCAGUAUCAAGCAAUAGGAGAAGAGGAACGACCUCAAGUUGCACUCAGGGAGGUUUAGAUUGGGUACCAUGAAAAGUUUCUUCACUGUAAGGGCUGUCCAGCCCUGGCACAGCUGCCCAGGGUGGUGGUGGAGUCCCCAUCCCCAGAGGAGUUUAAAAUAUGUGUGAAUGUGACAGCGAGGGACAUGGUCUAAUGGUGGGCCUGAUAACCUUAAAUAUCUUUUUUGACCUAAGUGAUUCAAUGAAACAUUAAUAAUUUUGCUUUUAUUUUAAAUACACAGCCAUUUCCAGGAGUCUAGUCAGGAGCCAGAGGAUCUGAGAAGUUGUGGUAAAAAAUUGUCAGUUCAUUCAGUGAAAACGUGACAAAAUGGUCUAAGGAUAAGCUGAGUUUCUCCAGUUUCAGUUACCAGUUCUUGGUUUGUGGAGGAUGAAGGAGAUGUUCUUAACAUUGCGCAAAUGCAGAACUGGGAAUUUGACGUGCAGAUCUUCCCUUGUUUGUGAAAAUAUGUGUCUGAACAACCCUGAGAGCUGAAGCGUUGAAAUCCUGGCUGAGAAUAUAUAUCCAGGAUUAGGAACAGAGAACUUCAGUGGGAAAAGUCAUCUGGGAUUUCUUAGACAUUCCUCUGGUUGGAAACUUGGCCAUAAAAAUUCUUCCUUUUUUGUCCCCAAGGCAUUGUUGUCAGACACUUUGUACCUGAAGAUUUUUCUUUCCCAUUAUUGAAGUUUUCCUAACCCAAUGUG
Molecule: long non-coding RNA, 1148 nt
Organism: Cyanistes caeruleus (blue tit)
Lineage: Eukaryota; Metazoa; Chordata; Aves; Passeriformes; Paridae
Source: Ensembl